This 391-nucleotide ribosomal RNA is filed under the name Colpoclypeus florus. RNAcentral's name for it is "eukaryotic LSU rRNA". Lineage: Eukaryota; Metazoa; Arthropoda; Insecta; Hymenoptera; Eulophidae. The record is from RNAcentral.
CAUGAACAUCGACAUUUCGAACGCACAUUGCGGUCCACGGAUACGAUUCCCGGACCACGCCUGGCUGAGGGUCGUUUAUAAAACAAAACCAGACUGCUCGUCUCUGCGCGUAAGCGCUUUGUCGAGCGAAUAUCUGAGCGUUCGUUACGCGCGUUUGUCGUGUCGUAGCGUCGCUCGAAAUCAGUCGAAAGCAUUUCUCGCAGCAGCGAGAGAGAUAGAGUCCGCACGCGCGUACGCUGGUACACGCGUCGAGUCCCGGAGCUUUUCUUGUCUGUGAAAACAGUGUGAGAGAGCGGACCGACGUAGUAUUAUCGCGUGAUGACGCGCGCGUGCACUUCGUAAAGCGAAGCGAAAUGAAAAAAAAGAAAGGACUCGCAUUCUCUCGUACUGU